UACGGAGGGGGCGAGCGUUAUUCGGAAUCAUUGGGCGUAAAGGGCGCGUAGGCGGCCCCGUAAGUCUUGGGUGAAAGCCCUCGGCUCAACCGAGGAAUUGCCUUGGAUACUGCGGGGCUCGAGGCUGGAAGAGGGCAGUGGAAUUCCCGGUGUAGCGGUGAAAUGCGUAGAUAUCGAGAGGAACACCUGCGGCGAAGGCGGGUUGCUGGGCUGACACUGACGCUGAGGCGCGAAAGCUAGGGGAGCGAACGGG
RNAcentral lists this ribosomal RNA (253 nucleotides) under uncultured bacterium. RNAcentral describes it as "partial 16S ribosomal RNA". It matches the Rfam family "Bacterial small subunit ribosomal RNA", at positions 524 to 776 of the family's 1533-position model. The record is from RNAcentral.